GACGAACGCUGGCGGCGUGCUUAACACAUGCAAGUCGAACGGAAAGGCCCUGCUUUUGUGGGGUGCUCGAGUGGCGAACGGGUGAGUAACACGUGAGUAACCUGCCCUUGACUUUGGGAUAACUUCAGGAAACUGGGGCUAAUACCGGAUAGGAGCUCCUGCUGCAUGGUGGGGGUUGGAAAGGUUCGGCGGUUGGGGAUGGACUCGCGGCUUAUCAGCUUGUUGGUGGGGUAGUGGCUUACCAAGGCUUUGACGGGUAGCCGGCCUGGGAGGGUGACCGGCCACAUUGGGACUGAGAUGCGGCCCAGACUCCUACGGGAGGCAGCAGUGGGGAGUAUUACACAAUAGGCGGAAGCCUGAUGCAGCAACGCCGCGUGCGGGAUGACGGCCUUCGGGUUGUAAACCGCUUUCGCCUGUGACGAAGCGUGAGUGACGGUAAUGGGUAAAGAAGCACCGGCUAACUACGUG
RNAcentral lists this ribosomal RNA (468 nucleotides) under uncultured bacterium. Its description in RNAcentral is "partial 16S ribosomal RNA". It matches the Rfam family "Bacterial small subunit ribosomal RNA", at positions 28 to 507 of the family's 1533-position model. The record is from RNAcentral.